UGACAAGUCUUGAAGGUCAUUGGCUACAUU
This 30-nucleotide non-coding RNA is filed under the name Mus musculus (house mouse). The record is from RNAcentral. Lineage: Eukaryota; Metazoa; Chordata; Mammalia; Rodentia; Muridae.